AGGGUUUGGUUAGGAUUUGAUUUAGGGUUAGAGUUUAGGAUUUGAUUAAGGUUUGAUUUAGGAUUAGGGUUAGAGUUUAGGAUUUGGUUAAGAUUUGAUUUAGGAUUAGGAUUUGGUUAGGAUUUGAUUUAGAAUUAAGUUUUGGUUAGGAUUUGAUUUAGAAUUAGGAUUUGAUUAGGAUUUGAUUUAGGAUUAGGAUUUGAUUUAGGAUUAGGAUUUGAUUUAGGAUUAAGGUUUAGUUAGGGUUUGAUCAAGAUUUGAUUUGGAUUUAGGGUUUUAUUUGAGUUUAUUUAGGAUUUAGGAUUUAGUUAGUUUUUGGCCUAAAAUUUGAAUGAAGUAAGAUUUCAACUAGGAUUAAAUUAAGAUUGAAUUGAGAUGUAUUUGAGAUAUGUUUAUAAUCAUUCUAAUAUUUCUUUAAGAUUUCUUAUUGUUUCUUUGAAAUUCUUUUGAGAUUUCUCUGAAUUUGAUUAAAGCUUGUUUAGCAUUGUUAGUAUUCUAUUAAAAUUAAGAUUUUGUUGUUGCAAUUUCCAUUCUACUCCCACAGUCAGGUGUCUGAAGCAUUCUCAAGCAAGAUUUUAUGUAUUACAACAACAUAUUUAUUUAGAUUUGAUUUCAA
This 616-nucleotide long non-coding RNA is filed under the name Physcomitrium patens. RNAcentral's name for it is "long non-coding RNA (PPAT_LNC006555)". Lineage: Eukaryota; Viridiplantae; Streptophyta; Bryopsida; Funariales; Funariaceae. The record is from RNAcentral.